ACAGGUGUGGCGCAGCUUAUACAUGCAGUCGAACGGUAACAGUACUAGCAAUAGUAGCUGACGAGUGGCGCACGGGUGCGUAACGCGUAUGCAACCUACCCAUAAUUGGAACAUAACGUUGAGAAAUUAACGCUAAUAUUCUAUGUGAAUAUGAAGAGGCAUCUUUUUAUAUUUAAAGAUUCAUUGAUUAUGGAUGGGCAUGCGUAUCAUUAGCUUGUUGGUGAGGUAACGGCUCACCAAGGCGACGAUGAUUAGGGGUUCUGAGAGGAUAUCCCCCCACACUGGAACUGAGACACGGUCCAGGCUCCUACGGGAGGCAGCAGUAGGGAAUAUUGGGCAAUGGAAGCAAUUCUGACCCAGCCAUGCCGCGUGAAGGAAUACAGCCCUAUGGGUUUUAAACUUCUUUUAUUAUAGAGUAACCGGAGGUACGUGUACCUCCCUGCAAGUAUAUGAUGAAUAAGGAUCGGCUAACUCCGUGCCAGCAGCCGCGGUAAUACGGAGGAUCCAAGCGUUAUCCGGAUUUAUUGGGUUUAAAGGGUGCGCAGGCGGAUCAAUAAGUCAGGGGUGAAAAAUUUCAGCUUAACUGGAAUCGUGCCUUUGAUACUGUUGGACUAGAGUAUAAUUGACGUGACUGGAAUGUGAUGUGUAGCGGUGAAAUGCUUAGAUAUGUCACAGAACGCCAAUCGUGAAGACAGGUCACGAAAUUAUUAUUGACGCUCAUGCACGAAAGCGUGGGGAUCAAACAGGAUUAGAUACCCUGGUAGUCCACGCUGUAAACGAUGAUUACUCGUUGUUGGGCAGUGAUGCUCAGUGGCUAAGCGAAAGCGAUAAGUAAUCCACCUGGGGAGUACGAUCGCAAGGUUGAAACUCAAAGGAAUUGACGGGGGCCCGCACAAGCGGAGGAGCAUGUGGUUUAAUUCGAUGAUACGCGAGGAACCUUACCCGGGCUUGAACGUAAGACGAAUAUAUAAGAGAUUAUAUAGCCUUCGGGCGUCUUGCGAGGUGCUGCAUGGUUGUCGUCAGCUCGUGCCGUGAAGGUGUUAGGUUAAGUUCUGCAACGAAGCGCAACCCUU
RNAcentral lists this ribosomal RNA (1073 nucleotides) under uncultured bacterium. Its description in RNAcentral is "bacterial SSU rRNA". It matches the Rfam family "Bacterial small subunit ribosomal RNA", at positions 33 to 1106 of the family's 1533-position model. The record is from RNAcentral.